UUACGUAAAUCGGGCCCUCCUCCCCGACUCCCCUUCGGGGUCGUAAUUCGCGUCGCUAUUUUGGCGUUUCCUUCCAGCUCCCCAAUGGUGGGGAAGCCCCCAGGCCCUCCAAACCGUGGGCAGGCGAGCGUUUGAGAAUACUUGCGUACAAACUUUGCGUUGCCAGCACUAGAAAAGGCCCGGUAAUUUCUAGGUCUUUGCGGGGUAAAAAUCCGCUAGUAAAUGGGCCAUCAAUCCCCUAUGUGGCGGAAGUGCGUUUUUUGGCUAUGUUACCUGAACGCUGAGGCGCGGAAAGCGUGGGGAGCAAACAGGUAUUAGUUACCCUGGUUAUCCCACGCCGUAAACGAUUGCCUAACCCGUUCGUCCGCUUCCCGCCCUUUUUACUGUUUGCAAUUAACCCAUUUAAAGCGCUCCCGCCUUGGGAAGUUCCGAUCCGCCAGGAUGAAAACUCACAAACGUAUUUGAACGGUGUUCCCCCCACUAGCCGGUGUUAAAUUAGGGGUUUUAAUAUUCCGGAACAACGCGGAAGAAACCUUAACCCAGGCCCUUGAACUUUCCCCUAAAACUCCCUAAAUACAAAAAGGGUCCCCUUUUUGUGGGUCUAAAAAUCAACGCGACUGUAUGGUCGUCCCACCUCUCCCUCUCGAUAGAAAUUUUUUUAUUAAUUUCUCCAAACUGAGGAAUACCUUUUUGAUUUUAUUCUCCCCCCUCUUUCGAGGCCACCAACUUAGUACCAUUCCCAGUCAAACCCCUCUGCUAAAAGGUGGGUUACACCGUAAACUCUAUCGGCCCCUUCUGCCGCGGCUGAUAACCCCAGUCUUGUAGGGCACAAGGGGCUCUACAACGCUAUGUGAUCACCCAUCCAAUACACUUUCCUCCUUUUCGAUUUGUUGCCCCCACCCUCAAUUCUAGUAUCUUAUACAUGAGCUGGUCCAUAUCAUUAUGAAACUGUCGGACAAAAAUAUCUAUACAUCUAU
RNAcentral lists this ribosomal RNA (977 nucleotides) under delta proteobacterium DCU4. RNAcentral describes it as "partial 16S ribosomal RNA". Lineage: Bacteria; Deltaproteobacteria. The record is from RNAcentral.